GAUGAAAAUUAAACUUUAAACUCCUAAUGUAGUAAUCUUCGUGGAAUCCAUGUAAAUUGUGUAAUAUCAGAAGAAAUGGUAGGGUACAUAAGCUUUUUUUUUUUUUUCUGAAUUUUUUGAAAAUUGCACCUCAGAAUGAAACUGGGACUUUUACACCUCAUAUAGAUACACACCCACACCCUAUAAAUAAUAAGAAAGAAAAAUGUUGGGGAAGAGACAGACUUAUAUCACUUGGACUCAAGCGUUGCUCAACAUGGGUGUCUUCGUUAUUUUCUCAAAUUUUCUAUGUGGUCAAAGGCUCGAUUGGACAUAAAAUGGGUAGUCCAAGAAAUAUAAAAAGUCAGAGCAACAUAGAGGCAAAUCGAAGAGGUCAUAGCCUCAGAAUAAAGGAAGGGAUCUUAAAUGCUGAGAUUCGGUUUCCAGCCUUUAGACGCCAACUCUUAAGGGUGUUGCAUAGACCAACUCAGGACAUUGGAGAAUUUAUUAAAGUUUGUUGAUGAAGUUGAAGACGAGCACA
Molecule: long non-coding RNA, 517 nt
Organism: Gossypium arboreum
Lineage: Eukaryota; Viridiplantae; Streptophyta; Magnoliopsida; Malvales; Malvaceae
Exons: 2
Source: RefSeq, a predicted model, not a curated record